Molecule: ribosomal RNA, 1498 nt
Filed under: Maribacter dokdonensis
Lineage: Bacteria; Pseudomonadati; Bacteroidota; Flavobacteriia; Flavobacteriales; Flavobacteriaceae
Description: partial 23S ribosomal RNA
Rfam family: Bacterial large subunit ribosomal RNA
Source: RNAcentral
CGACAAGCUGGAAAAGGGCGUAUGGGGAAUGCCUAGGCUCUCAGAGGCGAAGAAGGACGUGAUAAGCUGCGAAAAGCUGCGGGGAUCGGCACACACGAUAUGAUCCGCAGGUAUCCGAAUGGGGCAACCCGUUAUAUUGAAGGUAUAACAUCCGCAAGGAGGCAAACCCGGGGAACUGAAACAUCUAAGUACCCGGAGGAGGAGAAAACAAAAGUGAUUCCGAUAGUAGCGGCGAGCGAAAUCGGAUUAGUCCAAACCGUACAUGUUCCGGCAUGUGCGGGGUUGUAGGACCACGACAUUCGAGAUGUGAUGAACUAGAACGCUUUGGAAAUAGCGGCCAUAGAGGGUGAUAGUCCCGUAUAGGUAAAGAGCAUUUAGAUAGUGGUAUCCUGAGUAGUGCGGGGCACGUGAAACCCUGUAUGAAUCCGGCGGGACCAUCCGCCAAGACUAAAUACUCCUGAGAGACCGAUAGUGAACCAGUACCGUGAGGGAAAGGUGAAAAGAACCGUGAAUAACGGAGUGAAAUAGAUCCUGAAACCAUACGCUUACAAGCGGUCGGAGCCCAUAUGGGUGACGGCGUGCCUUUUGCAUAAUGAGCCUACGAGUUACUUUUACUGGCAAGGUUAAGUUCUUCAGGAACGGAGCCGUAGCGAAAGCGAGUCUUAAUAGGGCGCCAUAGUCAGUAGUAGUAGACGCGAAACCGUGCGAUCUACCCAUGGGCAGGUUGAAGCUGUGGUAACACAUAGUGGAGGACCGAACCCGUUGACGUUGAAAAGUCUUGGGAUGACCUGUGGGUAGGGGUGAAAGGCCAAUCAAGCUCGGAAAUAGCUCGUACUCCCCGAAAUGCAUUUAGGUGCAGCGUGUAGAUAGUUUUAUAGAGGUAGAGCUACUGAUUGGAUGCGGGGGCUUCACCGCCUACCAAUUCCUGACAAACUCCGAAUGCUAUAAAAUGUUUCUGCGCAGUGAGGGCAUGGGUGCUAAGGUCCAUGUCCGAGAGGGAAAGAACCCAGAUCACCGGCUAAGGUCCCAAAGUAUAUGCUAAGUUGAUAUAACGCGGUGGAACUGCAUUGACAGCCAGGAUGUUGGCUUGGAAGCAGCCAUUCAUUUAAAGAGUGCGUAACAGCUCACUGGUCGAGCGGUUCCGCAUGGAUAAUAAUCGGGCAUAAGCAUAUCACCGAAGCCGUGACUUUGUAUUUAUACAAGGGGUAGGGGAGCAUUGUAACUGCGUCGAAGGCGUACCUGCGAGGGAUGCUGGAGCGGUUACAAACGAAAAUGUAGGCAUAAGUAACGAUAAUGCGGGCGAGAAACCCGCACGCCGAAAGACCAAGGUUUCCCCAGCUAUGCUAAUCAGCUGGGGGUCAGUCGGGACCUAACGCGAACCCGAAGGGGAUAGUGGAUGGACAACAGAUUAAUAUUUCUGUACCUGCUCACGCUAAAAGUGACGGAGGCGAGAAGUUGGUGCGUACAGACGGAAUUGUACGUUGAAGGGAGUAGUAAU